AAAAGGACUUCGGUUUGCUUCGGGAUGGACUCGCGUCCAAUUAGCUAGUUGGUGAGGUAACGGCCCACCAAGGCGACGAUCGGUAGCCGGACUGAGAGGUUGAACGGCCACAUUGGGACUGAGACACGGCCCAGACUCCUACGGGAGGCAGCAGUGGGGAAUAUUGGACAAUGGGCGAAAGCCUGAUCCAGCCAUGCCGCGUGGAUGAAGAAGGCCCUAGGGUUGUAAAGCACUUUCAGCGAGGAGGAAAGGGUGUCGGUUAAUACCCGGCAUCUGUGACGUUACUCGCAGAAGAAGCACCGGCUAACUCCGUGCCAGCAGCCGCGGUAAUACGGAGGGGGCUAGCGUUGUUCGGAAUUACUGGGCGUAAAGCGCACGUAGGCGGACUGAUUAGUCAGGGGUGAAAUCCCGGGGCUCAACCCCGGAACUGCCUUUGAUACUGUCAGUCUUGAGUCCGAGAGAGGUGAGUGGAACUCCGAGUGUAGAGGUGAAAUUCGUAGAUAUUCGGAGGAACACCAGUGGCGAAGGCGGCUCUCUGGUCUGUUACUGACGC
This 553-nucleotide ribosomal RNA is filed under the name Cyclophora tenuis. RNAcentral describes it as "partial Bacterial small subunit ribosomal RNA". It matches the Rfam family "Bacterial small subunit ribosomal RNA", at positions 202 to 746 of the family's 1533-position model. The record is from RNAcentral. Lineage: Eukaryota; Bacillariophyta; Fragilariophyceae; Cyclophorales; Cyclophoraceae.